Molecule: ribosomal RNA, 229 nt
Filed under: uncultured bacterium
Lineage: Bacteria
Description: partial 16S ribosomal RNA
Rfam family: Bacterial small subunit ribosomal RNA
Source: RNAcentral
UGCGUAGGCGGAUUGUUAAGUCAGUGGUGAAAGUCUGCGGCUCAACCGUAGAAGUGCCAUUGAUACUGGCAGUCUUGAGUACAGUAGAGGUAGGCGGAAUUUAUGGUGUAGCGGUGAAAUGCAUAGAUACCAUAAAGAACACCUAUAGCGAAGGCAGCUUACUAUACUGUAACUGACGCUGAGGCACGAAAGCGUGGGGAGCGAACAGGGUUAGAUACCCUGGUAGUCC